RNAcentral lists this small RNA (3894 nucleotides) under Pongo abelii (Sumatran orangutan). Its description in RNAcentral is "retained intron". The record is from RNAcentral. Lineage: Eukaryota; Metazoa; Chordata; Mammalia; Primates; Hominidae.
UAGAAAUUUGUAUUUAAAAGGUUGUUUGUAAAGUACUGGUCUUACAGUUUACAGGCAUACCUCAUUUUACUGCAGUUCACUUUACUGCACUUUACAAAUAUUGCAAUUUUUACAGAUUGAAGGUUUAUGGCAAGCCUGCUUCAACCAAGUCUGUCAGCACCAUUUAUCCAAUAGCAUAUGAUCACUUUAUGUCUCUGUGCCAUAUUUUGUUUAAUUUUUGCAGUAUUUCAGACUUUUUCAUUAUUAUUAAUCUGUUGUAGUGAUCUGUCAUCAGUAAUCUUUGUUACUGUUCAAAUUGUUUUCGGGUGCCACAAACUGCCCAUAUAAGACAGCAAACUUAAUCAACAAAUGUUGUGUGUGUUCUUCCUACUUCACUGACUGGCUAUUGAUUCCCUCAUCUCUCUGUCCCCUUGGGUCUCCCUAUUCCCUGAGACACAGCAAUAUUGAAAUUAGGCUAGUUAAUAGCCUUACAGUGACCUCUGAGUGUCCAAGUGAAAGGAAGAGUAGGAUUUCUGUCACUUUAAAUCAAAAGCUAGAAAUGAUUAAGCUUAGUGAGGAAGGUAUGUCAAAAGCCAAGAUAAGCCAAAAGCUAGGCCUCUUGUGCCAGUUAGCCAAGUUGUAAAUACAAAGGAAAAGUUCUUGAAGGAAAUUAAAAGUGCUAUUCCGGUGAACACACUAAUGAUAAGAAAAUUAAACAGCCUUAUUGUUGAUAUGAAGAAAGUUCCAAUGAUCUGGAUAGAAGAUCAAAGCAGCUACAACAUUCCCUUAAGUCAAAACCUAAACCAGAGCAAUGCCCUAAUUCUCCAAUUCAAUGAAGGCUGAGAAAGGUGAGGAAGCUGCGGAAGAAAAGUAUGACUCUAGCAGAGGUUUGUUCAUGAGGUUGAAGGAAAGAGGCCGUCUUUGUAAUAUAAAAGCGCAAGGUGCAACAGCAAGUGCUGAUGUAGAAGCUGCACAUUAUCCAGAAGAUCUGACUAAGAUAACUGAUGAAAGUGGCUACACUAAACAAUGGAUUUUCAACACAGACAAAACAGCCUUGUAUUAGAAGAUACCAUCUAGGACUUUCAUAGCUGGAAAGGAGAAGUCAAUGCCUGGCUUCGUAGGACAGGCUAAGUCUCUUAUUAGAGGCAAAUGAAGCUAGUGACUUUAAGUUUAAGCCAAUGUUUAUUUACCAUCUGAAAAUCCUAGGACCCUUAAGAAUUGUGCUAAAUCCACUUUGUAUGUGCUCUACAAAUGGAAAAACAAAGCCUGAUGAGAGCACAUCUGUUUAUAGCAUCAUGGAUUACUGAAUAUUUUAAGCCCACUAUUGAGUCCUACAGCUCAGAAGAAAAUAUUUCUUUGAAAAUGUUACUGCUUAUUGACAGUGCACCUGGUCACCCAAGAGCUGAUAUGAUAUACGAGGAGAUUAAUGUUGUUUUCAUGCCUACUAACAUCCAUUCUGUAACCCGUAGAUCAAGGAGUAAUUUUAACUUUCAAGUCUUUUAUUUAAGAAAUACAUUUUGUAAGACCAUAGCUGCUGUACAUAGUGAUUCCUCUAAUCGAUCUGAGCAAAGUAAAUUGAAAACCUUCUGGAAAGGACUCAUCAUUCUAGAUACCAUUAAGAACAUUUAUGAUUCAUGGGAGGAAGUCAAAAUAUCAACAAUAGUGUAAACAAAACUUUUGUAUGCAGUGGGAAACCAAAAAAUGUGUGUGACUCACUUUAUUGCAAUAUUCGCCUUUUUUGUGGUAGUCUGGAACUGAACCUGCAGUAUUUCUGAAGUAUGCCUGUAUUACCUCCAUAUGAUUCUUCACCACUGACAUAUUUCAUAUUGUUUACUCAGUCUUAGGAGGGAAGUAAAAACGACCUAAUUUUUAAAAUUGUUUAUGUCUUUACUCUGGAGAACUUUGCCAUUUUAUGACAACAAUCUCUUUUAGACAUCCCAUGAAUGGAAGCGAUGAAUGAAUACAUAUCUGUAUUGAAAGAAAAGUUAACAGAAAAUUCUGAAAACCAGCUAGCAGUGGGUGCUGUGGCAGCAGAAGGAAACUCAGGCUAUCAGUGAUUUCUAGUGUGGGAAUUUAAUGCAGUUCAAGGAGGGAAAUAGAAAGGAAAAGAAUACCAGAGAAAUGAGCCUUAGGCUUACUAGGGAGUAAAGAUGUUAUGAAACCACAGCCAGUGACUUACCAUGCAGAUUUUAUUUUCUAAAUACCAUUCCCCACUAAAAGGAACCAGGGCUCCAUGGAGAAAUGGCAGAUUCCAGAGCUGGGCAGGGAAGGUACAGAUGAGCCUCAUACUAUGGCAGAGAGGAAGGAAGGGCUGAAAAAAAAAUGGGGGCACAUCCAGCUUGAAGGGGUGCCCAUUGGAAAAAUCUAGGACAGUUUGAGGAUCUCAAUAAGGAUAGUAAUAGAUGGUGUGAAUAAUGGAAAAAUAAAGCCAAUGAAUAUCAGACUCCCUAAUCUAUUCUGAUAAAUAGAAAGUUAGAUAAGGAAAUAAAGAAUUGAGGAAGAAGGGAAAGUUCCUUACAGUAAAAUGCCAUCUAAUAUACAGAGAAGGAAAGAUAGAGUUUGCAUUGUGCCAAGCAAAGUGUAAGGCAUUAGAGGUACCCAGUGCUUAAGAGAGUGCCCUUAGCUUUUUUGCUACUGUGAAGUUAGAAGGAGGCAAAUAAAUACUUUGUCUGUUUAUCUUGUCACCAUUACAGUUAAUCCUCUCAAGGACAAGAUACCUUUGUAAUGUAUUAGGGUAAUGCCUUAGAUUAUUAAUUAGUUGAAUGACUGGUACAUUCCUAAGCACUGACUAUGGUAUAAUGGGUUAUAUUAAAUGUGAGAUGACUCUUUAAUUCAUUUCAUUAAUUUUUUUUGUUGUAAAAGUAAAUGAACUGGUGAAAAUGUAGGGACAUAAAUGAAUAUAAAGACACAAGGCAAAAAAUAUUACCUAAAACUCAACUAUUAAAUGAGUAACCAAUGUUUACAUUUUGGCAUAUUUCCAUCUGGUUUUCUAACAUGCUUAGAUCAUGCGGAAUAUAGUUUUUAAAAAAUCUUUGCCCUCUUUUUAAUGUGCCUAAUUUUUAAAUUUCAAGGUGUUUGACUUUACGUUGCAAAUUGUACUUUGACAACUUACUGUCUCAGCGGGCCUAUUGUGGAAAAAUGAAUUUUGACCACAAGAAUGAAACUCUAAGUAUAUCAGUUCAGCCUGGAGAAGGAAAUAAAGCUGCUUUCAAUGACAUGAGAGCCUUGUCUGGAGGCGAACGUUCUUUCUCCACAGUGUGUUUUAUUCUUUCGCUAUGGUCCAUCGCGGAAUCUCCUUUCAGAUGCCUGGAUGAAUUUGAUGUCUACAUGGAUAUGGUUAAUAGGAGAAUUGCCAUGGACUUGAUCCUGAAGAUGGCAGAUUCCCAGCGCUUUAGACAGUUUAUCUUGCUCACACCUCAAAGCAUGAGUUCACUUCCGUCCAGUAAACUGAUAAGAAUUCUCCGAAUGUCUGAUCCUGAAAGAGGACAAACUACGUUGCCUUUCAGACCUGUGACUCAAGAAGAAGAUGAUGACCAAAGUUGAUUUGUAACUUAACAUGCCUUGUCCUGAUGUUGAGGGAUUUGUGAAGGGAAAAAAAUUCUGGACUCUUUGAUAUAAUAAAAUGAGACUGGAGGCAUUCUGAAAUGAAAGAAACUCCUUUAUAUAUCCAACCACAAUCAAACGUAUAAAUAAACCUAGAAAACCAACUACAACCAGCAAUUUAAGAUUACUAUUACUUUAAGAAAAUCAAUUUCAUAGUAUUGGUUUUAAAUCUUUUUAAGUUUUUUUAAUAUCAUCUAUUUUUAUAGGUUCUUUUUCAGAAGUAAAAUUUUGUACAUAUAUACAUGUACAUAUCUGUUUAGUUUGGGUUCAUUUCUAUAGCAUUUUGUAAGAAAAUAAAAGUUUGACCACCUG